This is a long non-coding RNA of Gigantopelta aegis, 321 nucleotides long. RefSeq lists it as uncharacterized. Lineage: Eukaryota; Metazoa; Mollusca; Gastropoda; Neomphalida; Peltospiridae. The transcript has 3 exons. The record is from RefSeq and is a predicted model, not a curated record.
AACCGACCUCAAACAACGGGGAAUCGACUUUAAGGCAAACAUAUAUGUAGUGUCAAACGUUUGGUACCAUACAUUCGCCAAGUUGGUCAUUUUUAUUCCUGUUCAAGACGAAUCCAUUGGAGUUUAUACGUUUUAUGCGCGAGAUGUUACAAUUCGCAAGAUUGUGUUUGUGUCUACAGUGAAAGAAAAUGAAACAUGGAAUGUGUACUGGAUUCAUAUAACCAAACCAUCAUCACAGUCACGCGAUUACAUCUUCUGGCAAAAAAAGACAAUCAGAGGUCCGACAAUGUUCAGUUUCUAUGUGUCAUCGUCAGCUUCUGG